Molecule: ribosomal RNA, 253 nt
Filed under: uncultured bacterium
Lineage: Bacteria
Description: partial 16S ribosomal RNA
Rfam family: Bacterial small subunit ribosomal RNA
Source: RNAcentral
UACGGAGGGAGCUAGCGUUGUUCGGAAUUACUGGGCGUAAAGCGCACGUAGGCGGCUAUUCAAGUCGGGGGUGAAAGCCCGGGGCUCAACCCCGGAACAGCCCUCGAAACUAGAUAGCUAGAAUCUUGGAGAGGCGAGUGGAAUUCCGAGUGUAGAGGUGAAAUUCGUAGAUAUUCGGAAGAACACCAGUGGCGAAGGCGACUCGCUGGACAAGUAUUGACGCUGAGGUGCGAAAGCGUGGGGAGCAAACGGG